AUUGAACGCUGGCGGAAUGCUUUACACAUGCAAGUCGAACGGCAGCACGGACUUCGGUCUGGUGGCGAGUGGCGAACGGGUGAGUAAUGUAUCGGAACGUGCCCAGUCGUGGGGGAUAACGUAGUGAAAAUUACGCUAAUACCGCAUAUGAUCUAUGGAUGAAAGCGGGGGAUCGCAAGACCUCGCGCGAUUGGAGCGGCCGAUAUCAGAUUAGGUAGUUGGUGGGGUAAAGGCCCACCAAGCCAACGAUUUGUAGCUGGUCUGAGAGGACGACCAGCCACACUGGAACUGAGACACGGUCCAGACUCCGACGGGAGGCAGCAGUGGGGAAUUUUGGACAAUGGGCGAAAGCCUGAUCCAGCCAUUCCGCGUGCAGGAUGAAGGCCCUCGGGUUGUAAACUGCUUUUGUACAGAACGAAAAGGUUUCUACUAAUACUAGGAGCUCAUGACGGUACUGUAAGAAUAAGCACCGGCUAACUACGUGCCAGCCGCCGCGGUAA
Molecule: ribosomal RNA, 500 nt
Filed under: uncultured bacterium
Lineage: Bacteria
Description: partial 16S ribosomal RNA
Rfam family: Bacterial small subunit ribosomal RNA
Source: RNAcentral